GAAUUUAAACCUCUUCCAGAGUAUCAAUUGGAGGGCAAGUCUGGUGCCAGCAGCCGCGGUAAUUCCAGCUCCAAUAGCGUAUAUUAAAAUUGUUGCAGUUAAAAAGCUCGUAGUUGAAUUUCUGCUGCAUUUCAUUUCUCUUUCUGAGUUUGUUUUUGCGGCUUAUUUCGGUUUGAUUUUUUCUUUCCGGAUGAUUACUUUGAGAAAAUUAGAGUGCUCAAAGCAGGCUUUUGCCUUGAAUAGUUUAGCAUGGAAUAAUAAAGUAGGACUUUGGUUCUAUUUUGUUGGUUUUAGGUACCAAAGUAAUGGUUAAUAGGAACAGUUGGGGGCAUUCGUAUUUAACUGUCAGAGGUGAAAUUCUUAGAUUUGUUAAAGACGAACUACUGCGAAAGCAUUUGCCAAGGAUGUUUUCAUUAA
Molecule: ribosomal RNA, 417 nt
Filed under: Theileria orientalis
Lineage: Eukaryota; Apicomplexa; Aconoidasida; Piroplasmida; Theileriidae
Description: SSU rRNA
Rfam family: Eukaryotic small subunit ribosomal RNA
Source: RNAcentral